AUAAUAUAAGAUUUAACCUGCCCGCUGAAUAAUUGAAUGGCCGCGGUAUUUUGACCGUGCAAAGGUAGCAUAAUAAUUAGUUUUUUGAUUGAAAGCUGGAAUGAAUGGUUGGACGAGAAAAUUACUGUCUCUGAUUAAAUUUUGAUAAAACUUUAUUUUUAAGUUAAAAAGCUUAAAUGUUGUUAAAAGACGAGAAGACCCUAUAGAGUUUUAUAAUUUUUUAAUAAUAUAAUUUUAGGUAUUUAAAUUUUGUUUUUAAAAAAUUAUUUUAUUGGGGUGAUAGAAAGAUUAAAUAAACUCUUUUUUUAUUUAAACAUUUAUAUAUGAUUAUUUGAUCCAUUUUUUAUGAUUAUAAGAAUAAAUUACCUUAGGGAUAACAGCGUAAUCUUUUUAGAGAGUUCUUAUCGAAAUAAGGGAUUGCGACCUCGAUGUUGGAUUAAAGUUAAUUUUUGGUGUAGAAGCUUGAAAAUUGAGUCUGUUCGACUUUUAAAACUUUACAUGAUCUGAGUUUAAACCGGUGUGAGCCAGGUUGGUUUCUAUCUUUAUUAAACAAAAAUAUCUUAGUACGAAAGGACCAA
This 578-nucleotide ribosomal RNA is filed under the name Hydora sp. 4 MF-2023a. Its description in RNAcentral is "partial large subunit ribosomal RNA". It matches the Rfam family "Bacterial large subunit ribosomal RNA", at positions 1842 to 2695 of the family's 2925-position model. The record is from RNAcentral. Lineage: Eukaryota; Metazoa; Arthropoda; Insecta; Coleoptera; Elmidae.